RNAcentral lists this transfer RNA (71 nucleotides) under Syngnathoides biaculeatus (alligator pipefish). RNAcentral describes it as "tRNA-Arg". It matches the Rfam family "tRNA". Rfam says of the family: Transfer RNA (tRNA) molecules are approximately 80 nucleotides in length. Their secondary structure includes four short double-helical elements and three loops (D, anti-codon, and T loops). The record is from RNAcentral. Lineage: Eukaryota; Metazoa; Chordata; Actinopteri; Syngnathiformes; Syngnathidae.
UAGGCGGUUAGUUUAAUUAAAACAUUUGAUUUCGGCUCAAAAACAUGCGGUUUAACUCCACAACCACCUAA